UACGUAGGGGGCAAGCGUUAUCCGGAUUUACUGGGUGUAAAGGGAGCGUAGACGGCAUGGCAAGUCAGAUGUGAAAGCCCGGGGCUCAACCCCGGGACUGCAUUUGAAACUGUCGGGCUGGAGUGCAGGAGAGGUAAGCGGAAUUCCUAGUGUAGCGGUGAAAUGCGUAGAUAUUAGGAGGAACACCAGUGGCGAAGGCGGCUUACUGGACUGUAACUGACGUUGAGGCUCGAAAGCGUGGGGAGCAAACAGG
Molecule: ribosomal RNA, 253 nt
Filed under: uncultured bacterium
Lineage: Bacteria
Description: partial 16S ribosomal RNA
Rfam family: Bacterial small subunit ribosomal RNA
Source: RNAcentral